ACGGGGGGGGCAAGCGUUGUUCGGAAUUACUGGGCGUAAAGGGCGCGUAGGCGGUUCGCUAAGUUGGAUGUGAAAACUCUGGGCUCAACCCAGAGCCUGCAUCCAAAACUGGCGGGCUAGAGUUCUGGAGGGGGUAGCGGAAUUCCUGGUGUAGCGGUGAAAUGCGUAGAGAUCCGGAAGAACACCGGUGGCGAAGGCGGCCUGCUGGGCAGUUGCUGACGCUGAGGCGCGACAGCGUGGGGAGCAAACAGGA
Molecule: ribosomal RNA, 253 nt
Filed under: uncultured prokaryote
Description: partial 16S ribosomal RNA
Rfam family: Bacterial small subunit ribosomal RNA
Source: RNAcentral